GAAUCUGCCUUUUUCCAGCCACUGACCCCCUUCAUUGUCCCCCUCUUCUACCUGCACAGGUACUGAGCACGUCGAAAGGUCUGCCAUAUACACGUGACCUAUUUAUUUAUUUAUUUCUUGACCGCCCCAUGGCAUUUGGAGUUCCUGAGCCAGGGAUCAGAUCUCAGCCUUUGUGACUUAUGCCACAGCUGUGGCAAUGCCAGAUCCUUUAACCCACUGCGCCGGGCUGAGGAUCGAACACGUGUCCUGGUCUUGCAGAGACGCCACUAAUCCCCUUGCGCCACAGCGGGAACGCCCGCAGAAUGCACUUUAAAACCCCUUGCCACUUCCCACUAGCAUUCUUCAUUUCCUUACAGCCUCAAGCAUGGCACACAUCAGGGCUUUUUCUCCUAAGUGUGAGGCAGAGCUGAUGGUUUUUCCACCCAUUUCUGUGCUGAGUAGGAUGUUUUGUACUAGGGGCUUAGCCACAAUGCUUCCUGUCUUCAUCCGCUUGGGCUGCUCUAAGAAAAUACCACAGACCAGGCGUGGUAUUUAUUUUUCACAGUUUUGGAGGCUGGAGUCUGAGAUCAGGGUCAGGCGAGGAUCCUCUUCCGGGUCACAGAUUUCUCCUUGUAUCCGCCCAUGGCAGAAGGGGGUAGAGAGCUCUGUGGGGCCUCUUUCAUGAGACAUGAAUGCCAUUUGUGAGGGCUCCACCCUUAUGACUUCCCUCCCAAAGGCCAUAUCUCCUAAUACCAUCAUUUCGGGGGGUUAGGAAUUCCACAUAGGAAUUUGCGGUGGUGGGGGGGACACAAAUGUUCAGCCAGAGCAAUUCUCUUCCAAUGGGUUUUGGUCCAUCUGUGCCCUGGUGAGAUGGAGCGUGACAUGACGAGGACAGAGCCUGCAGAGACGCAAGCAGCAAAUGCUUUUGUUGUUGUUGCUCUGACCAGUUCUUUAAGUCCCACGCAGAGACCAUCGAGAAGGGGAGGACAAGGGGCACCAGGGCACAGCAGCUGGUGGCUGGGCUCCCGGCUUGAGAUGAGAGGAUGUGUGUGCACUGACGUUGUGUAAACUUCCACAUUCCACCACUUCCUCUGCAUCAGCGGUCAGGCGGUAUGCUUGCCAGGAGCAGAGCUCUCUCAUCACAGCAACUACUCCUGCAAUUCAAACUGGCUGCCUUUACAGGAACUACAUGGAAGCUUUCAUCCUGUAAGAGAAGGCUGCGUGAAGCUGAAGCCGCGAGGAUGGAGAUGCAGCUGUUGCUCAAGGCUGGCAUCUUGUCAGCAACAGAGAGCUGCUGUGUGACGUCAAACAGGGAACGAGCAGAGAAUACCAACAUGGACAUGCAAUGCCAACAUCUCUUUCCUGGGAUGCCUUAAAACUAUCUUAGGACCAUAGAACCACAACACUGGAAGAUACCCUUGAACUUGUCUAUUUAACCUGUGCAUUUAGUGGAUGGUGAAACCAAGAUUCAGAGUUGCCGGGGUUCACGCAGCGAUGAGGAAGAGGAUUAAAGUUAGAUGGUUUUUGAGGGUUCCUCUGAGCAUUGUUCAGUGAUUCUUUCGACUCUUGGGUUCUACCUGAGAGUUCUCCCCCUCAGGCCAUGACCACCCUGUGAAACUCAUUAAACGUAAGCGAGUAAGCUUCUAGAAUAUAGAACUGGACUGAAUUCUUGAUCACAACCAAGACCCACCUAACCUUUUCCACCUCCUCUGCAUAACCAAUGCUGUCCUAAGACUGUGGUUCUCAGUCUUGGCUGCGCAAUAGAAUCUCCUUAAGGAUCUGAUACUCAGAUCCUACCCCAUAUCAACUGAAUCAGAAUCUUGGGGGUAUUGCCUAAGACAUUUUUUCUUAAAAAAAAAAAACGUCCUGGGAGUUCCUGCUGUGGCACAGUGGGUUAAGGAUUUGGCAUUGCCACAGCUGUGGCAUAGGUCACAGCUGCAGUUUGGAUUCUAUCCUUUCCUCAGGAACUUACGUAUGCUGCAGGUGCAUCAGAAAAAGAAAAAGAAAACAAGAACCUUUCCAGUUAAUUCUAAUAUUCAGACAGCAUUGCUAAACUGCUAAGUUUGGCUCAACUCGUGACUAAUGUUAAUAUUAAAUCUAUCCACUCUCCUCUCCCAUCUCUACUCAACACAGUUACACUCUCUGACCUCCCUACUUGCUGGAUUAUCACGUGUACACUCUUUUAGGAUAAGAAGUGCCUACAAGUUAGAAAAUGGAUUUCUGUUAUAAACCCAUUUUUCGGAUGGGGAAAACUGAGCCUGAAGAAACCAAACAAUUUCAAUGUAACAGUAGCUGAGUCAUGAAUAAAUCCAAGGCAUUUGGGACAGCUCCCCUUCCCACAACAUAUCAGAUACCAAUUGCAAGUCCAGGUUGCCACCUGUACCUCUGACCCACAGAAGUUUCCAGUACCCCACUGGUUAAUUUGCUAGAGUGGCUCACAGAAUUCAGAGAAACAUUUUACUCACUAGGUCACUGGUUUAUUAUCAUAUAAAAGGACAUAACUUAGAAACCGCCAGCUGGAAGAGAUACAUUGGGCAGGGCACAUAGGAAGGGGCUUGGAGCUUCCACCAUCUCCUGGCAUUCUCCACGCAAGCGCCAACCCCGAAGCUCUCUUGCUGUCUGGGGCUUCAUGAAGGCUUCAUUCCAUAAUCACAACUGAUUAGAUCAUUGUCCAUUGGUGACUGAACUCCAUCUCCAGCCCCUCUCCCCUCCCUGUGUAAAUGAUGAGACCAAGGGUAUGGAGCACUGAAUUGGCCCUGGGGAUUGCUACCUUUCUUCUUUUCCUGGCAUGCCUAUUUAAACGGUUAUUUUCACCUUCCAUCAAAUGUACAGUUUAAUACCUAUAAUUUACAUCCAUGUGUGAAAUUAAAACUGAUAAUUAUUAUGAUGGUAAUAAUCACUAACAUCUGUUGAGUGCUGAAUAUCACCUGCUUUUUUGGUAUUAGCUGAGUUAAUCCUAACAAUACCCCUGGAACUCGACAGCACUAUCCCCCUUUUACAGCAAAAUAAACUUGCUUCUGCUUUU
This 3004-nucleotide long non-coding RNA is filed under the name Sus scrofa (pig). RNAcentral describes it as "lncRNA (ENSSSCG00000055863.1, ENSSSCG00110006990.1, ENSSSCG00175028702.1)". Lineage: Eukaryota; Metazoa; Chordata; Mammalia; Artiodactyla; Suidae. The record is from RNAcentral.